RNAcentral lists this long non-coding RNA (259 nucleotides) under Panax ginseng (ginseng). RNAcentral describes it as "long non-coding RNA (PGIN_LNC000846)". The record is from RNAcentral. Lineage: Eukaryota; Viridiplantae; Streptophyta; Magnoliopsida; Apiales; Araliaceae.
UUCAAUACAAAUAUUGUACUGAAUAUAAUACGACAAUAUACACACCCAAAUUAUUACAAUGCCAUAUAAAAUACAGCAACAAAUAUUUCAAGUUUUCAAAGGAACACGAGAAGAUUUAUGUCCUUCUCAUUCUAAUGGGAUGUAUUUUUGACGCUUUCAAAGCCGGGUUCUCCUCACCCUAUUAUUGUUCACCAAAACAAUUAUUAAAUGACGUAUAAAAUACGACACACACACACAUUAAGUUCUUAAUACAAUUAUA